Molecule: ribosomal RNA, 1384 nt
Filed under: human gut metagenome
Description: bacterial LSU rRNA
Rfam family: Bacterial large subunit ribosomal RNA
Source: RNAcentral
GUUGGCUUGGAAGCAGCCAUUCAUUUAAAGAGUGCGUAACAGCUCACUAGUCGAGUGGUCCCGCAUGGAUAAUAAUCGGGCAUAAGCCCGGUGCCGAAGGCGUGGACCUGCCGAAUAUUCGGCGGGUGGUAGGGGAGCAUUCCGGUAGCCGCAGAAGGUUGGGCGCGAGCCUGGCUGGAGGCCCCGGAAAAGCAAAUGUAGGUAUAAGUAACGACAAGGGGAGCGAGAAACUCCCCCGCCGUAAGACCAAGGGUUUCUGAUCAACGCUAAUCGGAUCAGAGUCAGUCGGGACCUAAGGCGCAGCCGCAAGGCGUAGCCGAUGGAAGAAACGGUCAACAUUCCGUUACUCGGUAUGAGAGCGAUGUGGAGACGGAGAAGUGACACUCCCGCGCGCUGACGGAAUAGCGCGUUGAACCGCAAAGGUAUACGCCGCCCAGGCAAAUCCGGGCGGAGUGCCGAAGCGGGACAGUACGGCGAGCCCCCGGGCGAGCCGACAGCGGAGGUAACCAUGCUCCCGAGAAAAUCCGCUAAGCAUAUCCCAUGCCGACCCGUACCCUAAACCGACACAGGUGGUCGGGUAGAACAUACCAAGGCGCUCGAGAGAUUCACGGUUAAGGAACUAGGCAAACUGACCCCGUAACUUCGGGAUAAGGGGUCCCCUCCUCCGGGAGGGGCGCAGAGAAUAGGUCCAGGCAACUGUUUAACAAAAACACAGGGCUGUGCGAAAUUGAAAGAUGAAGAAUACAGCCUGACACCUGCCCGGUGCCGGAAGGUUAAGAGGAGAUGUCACAGCAAUGGAAGCAUUGAAUUGAAGCCCCGGUAAACGGCGGCCGUAACUAUAACGGUCCUAAGGUAGCGAAAUUCCUUGUCGGGUAAGUUCCGACCUGCACGAAUGGUGUAAUGAUCUGGACACUGUCUCAACCGUGAGCUCAGUGAAAUUGUAGUAUCGGUGAAGAUGCCGAUUACCCGCGAUGGGACGAAAAGACCCCGUGAACCUUUACUAUAGCUUUACAUUGAAUUUGGGCAGACGAUGUGUAGGAUAGGCCGGAGGCUUUGAAGGGGGUACGCCAGUAUCCUUGGAGCCGCCGUUGAAAUACGGCCCUUCGGUUGUUUGAGUUCUAACUCCCGGAUGGGAGGACACUGUAUGGUGGGUAGUUUGACUGGGGUGGUCGCCUCCAAAAGCGUAACGGAGGCUUCUAAAGGUGCCCUCAGACCGAUUGGUAACCGGUCGCAGAGUGUAAUGGCAUAAGGGCGCUUGACUGGGAGAGAUACAACUCGAUCAGGUAGGAAACUAGAGCAUAGUGAUCCGGUGGUUCCGCAUGGAAGGGCCAUCGCUCAAAGGAUAAAAGGUACUCCGGGGAUAACAGGCUGAUCCCUCCCAAGA